This 253-nucleotide ribosomal RNA is filed under the name uncultured bacterium. RNAcentral describes it as "partial 16S ribosomal RNA". It matches the Rfam family "Bacterial small subunit ribosomal RNA", at positions 524 to 776 of the family's 1533-position model. The record is from RNAcentral.
UACGAAGGGGGCUAGCGUUGUUCGGAAUUAGUGGGCGUAAAGCGCGCGCAGGCGGUUCUUCAAGUCAGUGGUGAAAGCCCGGAGCUCAACUCCGGGCCUGCAGUCGAUACGGGCAAACUAGAGUACUGCAGGGGAGACUGGAAUUCCUGGUGUAGCGGUGAAAUGCGCAGAUAUCAGGAGGAACACCGGUGGCGAAGGCGGGUCUCUGGGCAGUAACUGACGCUGAGGAGCGAAAGCGUGGGGAGCGAACAGG